Molecule: long non-coding RNA, 689 nt
Filed under: Homo sapiens (human)
Lineage: Eukaryota; Metazoa; Chordata; Mammalia; Primates; Hominidae
Description: NEURL1 antisense RNA 1 (NEURL1-AS1)
Source: RNAcentral
UCAGAGCUGUGGGUCUUGGGGCUCAGGGCCUGGUACACAGUAGGAGGUCAUUAAACAUCCCACACUGGUCAGUUACAGCCUCCUACGUCCCAGCUGUGCGUUUCCUGUGAAAAGAAUAAGCUCGCCUAAGACCAUGGCCUGAGGGGACUCCAGUGACGUUCCCAGUGCCAGCAGACAGAACUGCGCAGACCCCGCGGGACGCCAUCCUCCAUCACCAUCAUCGCCGGCUGCCCUCCACCCCCAGCCCACUCCACGGCCAGAGGUGCAUCUCCGGCCUCCAGACACGCACAACAGGUUUCAGGGGUCCCUCAAACAUCUGGGCUGUCAUCCUUCGGAGAGACUGGAACUGAGACACAAGGAGAGACCUAGUGAUGUGGGAGAGUUAGGAGAAGAAGCAGUGAUUUCAAACGCAUGCCCCUCACACGGAAGAAGGGCAGGGGGAAAGCCAUGCAGGUGUGGGCGUGGCACUUGAGCAGCCUCUCCCAUGGGCACCCAGUGGUUAAUGCACAAUGUUUAGCACGUCGCCCAGGGAGGCCAUCCCCUUCCGCUACCCCUUUCAUGGCAAAUGCUGAAACAUCGUUGAAGACUCCUCUCAAGGGUCUCCUCUUCCAGGAAGCCUUCGGUCAGGAAUAGGUGCCCCUUCUGGCUCCUCCUAGCCUGAAAGCCAACAUGAAAUCUCCCUGGGCUGA